CACUCCUACGGGAGGCAGCAGUGGGGAAUUUUGGACAAUGGGCGAAAGCCUGAUCCAGCAAUGCCGCGUGCAGGAUGAAGGCCUUCGGGUUGUAAACUGCUUUUGUACGGAACGAAAAAGCUCCUUCUAAUACAGGGGGCCCAUGACGGUACCGUAAGAAUAAGCACCGGCUAACUACGUGCCAGCAGCCGCGGUAAUACGUAGGGUGCGAGCGUUAAUCGGAAUUACUGGGCGUAAAGCGUGCGCAGGCGGUUAUGUAAGACAGAUGUGAAAUCCCCGGGCUCAACCUGGGAACUGCAUUUGUGACUGCAUGGCUAGAGUACAGUAGAGGGGGAUGGAAUUCCGCGUGUAGCAGUGAAAUGCGUAGAUAUGCGGAGGAACACCGAUGGCGAAGGCAAUCCCCUGGACCUGUACUGACGCUCAUGCACGAAAGCGUGGGGAGCAAACAGGAUUAGAAACCCUUGUAGUCCCAUG
This 474-nucleotide ribosomal RNA is filed under the name uncultured organism. RNAcentral's name for it is "partial 16S ribosomal RNA". It matches the Rfam family "Bacterial small subunit ribosomal RNA", at positions 334 to 799 of the family's 1533-position model. The record is from RNAcentral.